AUCCCCCAGAAUCCUUACCCAUCAGAUCUAAACAGCAGUCUAAGUAGCUAUACAUGGAGGAAAAGUAACACGGAAACAGACUUGGAUUCCUUUGUGAUAUACAAGUUGGCUUCAAGCAAUC
RNAcentral lists this small nucleolar RNA (121 nucleotides) under Echinops telfairi (small Madagascar hedgehog). Its description in RNAcentral is "Small nucleolar RNA SNORA61 (ENSETEG00000025489.1)". Lineage: Eukaryota; Metazoa; Chordata; Mammalia; Afrosoricida; Tenrecidae. The record is from RNAcentral.